Molecule: transfer RNA, 67 nt
Filed under: Marmota monax (woodchuck)
Lineage: Eukaryota; Metazoa; Chordata; Mammalia; Rodentia; Sciuridae
Description: tRNA.Ala
Rfam family: tRNA
About the family: Transfer RNA (tRNA) molecules are approximately 80 nucleotides in length. Their secondary structure includes four short double-helical elements and three loops (D, anti-codon, and T loops).
Source: RNAcentral
GGAUGUGGCUCAAGGGUAGAGCGCUUGCCUGGCAUGUGUGAGGCACUGGGUUCAAACCUCAGCACCA